Molecule: long non-coding RNA, 146 nt
Organism: Octopus sinensis (East Asian common octopus)
Lineage: Eukaryota; Metazoa; Mollusca; Cephalopoda; Octopoda; Octopodidae
Exons: 4
Source: RefSeq, a predicted model, not a curated record
UGUGUGUGUGUGUGUGUAAAUAUAUUGUUUGCUCAAAAGUUUUGUAAUAUUUUGGUAACUUAUAAGCUUUAUUUGCCAAAUUACAACAAAAGCAGCCCAGCAUCGAAAGCAGAGGCCAUCGUGUUGCAGCGUCUGAAGCCACCUUU